CGCGCAAGCCUUGCGGGGCCGCACGCGCCCCAGGUUGGGAAUGAAGGGGGCCGGCCCGGGAAAGGAGAGGAUGGCGGCCAGACCCCGCCAAAGACGCAGAGGCGGCCCAAAGGCGGAGAGGGAGCUGCGCCUGCACCCGACAGGCUCCCCCCUCCCUGCCCCGGGCUCCCGACCCCCAGCCCGAAGAGCGGGUCGGUUCCUCACACUCUGCAGCAGACUCCUCCUCUGCGCCGCCAUCUUGGAGGGACCCCCGCGGGCGCGCCCGCCUCCCGCAGAGCAGGCGAGAAGGGCGGCUAGAGCGGCCCGGAGCCGGCCGGGAGGACCGCACUGCUGGAGCAUGCGCCCAGCGCCACCCCACGGCCGAAGCGGGAUGCGGCCGUCGCAAGGCGAGUGCGCAGGCGCGCUCUUCCAGCUUCUAUUUUGCAGUAGGGAGUAGGAAGACUCAGCGUGGCACUUGGGAGAAGAAUGAAGGCAAUGCCUGCCUGACACUGAGCUCCGAGGGGUGGGGAGGAUACAAGGACAUCUGCUGUGGACACACCCUCUUCUUUUCUGGGGACUCAGUGCCUGGGAACCAAGCUGUAAAGUGGAUCCUGUUUUCCUCGGGACAACCCUCUGGGUCAGGGUUUGCAAUCAAUCCAUGCCAUGCUUCUGCCAGUGGAACAAAGACACCACAACCACUGACCUUGAUGUCUGUUUAAACAGCCAGGCAUCAAGCUCCAGGCACCAAGGUGGGCAGGCCACCUGGCGGGGACAAGGGCCAGGCCAUCUGAUGCUCUAAGAAGCACACACAUGGCCUGGGAUGUCAGAUAACUCCAUGCCACCACACUGUGGCCUUUCCAAAGCCCCGACUGCAGAAGAACAGAUAGAGCCAGCCACCUUCUGGGAACUGAGACAGGCUGUGCCCGGAGUUUGGAUCCAUCCUUUGUCGUAAGGUCUGCAGCAAGUCUCUCUGUGCCUCCAGCCAGCUGCCCACGGAGCCCACAGAUGCCAUCAGUCCUUUGUUCAGCCUCACGCAGCCCCACAGUGUCUUGUUUGCAGAUAACAGCUUGGGAAGAUGACGGUUCACAGGUCCCUGUUGUGCAGUAACCUUUCUGGAUCUCAGGAUAACUCCAGGAAAUGGUUUUGUUGGGGCAGAGUGUGCACAUUUUUAACAUUUUUGCUGCAAUUGCAAAGUUGCCUUCCAGCUUUCUGUUGGAGUUUCCAUAUAAAGGGAAAUCUCUUAUAUACCCUUAUGAAAGGGUAUCUUCCCCUGCCUCCAACUUGCAGCCAGGGGUCCUGGCGUUCUGCAUCUUCUGGGCCACUCUGCUGUUUAAUACUGGAAUCAAAAUCACCUAAGUGUCAGCUCAUGUGACCAAGCCUUCCAAGGUCCGCUAUACGAGGUGACUUCCAAGAACUGCUUCCUGUUUCCUGCUCUGACCUGGCUGCCACUCGUCACCUCAGCUACCUCCUCCUUCUGGACAACUGCCCUUUUUUCCAAGAAAUGAGUUACCUCCUGCCAUCUGGUAACAUCUCCAGGCUUCAGCUCCCAGGAUGGCUUCUCUGGGUUCACCACCCUCCCUGAAUUCCUUAAAACACAGCUACCACCAACCUGACAAAAGCCGACUGCAGGUUUGGGAAGAACAAAAGGCAGAUUUAAACUGGAGGUCGCAGAAUUCCCAUUGUGGCUCAAUGGUGUAAGAAUCCGACCCUGUCUCUCCAAGGACACAGGUUCGAUCCCUGGCCUUGCUCAGUGGGUUAAGGUGUU
This is a long non-coding RNA of Phacochoerus africanus (Common warthog), 1744 nucleotides long. RefSeq lists it as uncharacterized. Lineage: Eukaryota; Metazoa; Chordata; Mammalia; Artiodactyla; Suidae. The record is from RefSeq and is a predicted model, not a curated record. The transcript has 3 exons.